GACGAACGCUGGCGGCGUGCUUAACACAUGCAAGUCGAACGAUGAAGAAGAGAAACGCGAACUUCGGUUCAAAUUUCACUUCGGAUUAGUGGCAGACGGGUGAGUAACGCGUGCGCAACCUACCUCUUACAAAGGGAUAGCCUCGGGAAACCGUGAUUAAUACCAUAUGACACAUUCAUAAGGCAUCUUAAGAAUGUUAAAGCUACGGCGGUAAGCGAUGGGCUCGCGUCCCAUUAGCUAGUUGGUGAGGUAACGGCCCACCAAGGCGACGAUGGGUAACCGGCCUGAGAGGGUGAACGGUCACAUUGGAACUGAGACACGGUCCAAACUCCUACGGGAGGCAGCAGUGGGGAAUAUUGCACAAUGGAGGGAACUCUGAUGCAGCGACGCCGCGUGAGCGAUGAAGGAAUUCGUUUCGUAAAGCUCUGUUCUAUGGGAAGAAAAGGACUGUACCAUAGGAGAAAGCCCCGGCUAAAUACGUG
Molecule: ribosomal RNA, 482 nt
Filed under: uncultured bacterium
Lineage: Bacteria
Description: partial 16S ribosomal RNA
Rfam family: Bacterial small subunit ribosomal RNA
Source: RNAcentral